GAUGAAGAACGCAGUGAAAUGCGAUAAGUAAUGUGAAUUGCAGAAUUCAGUGAAUCAUCGAAUCUUUGAACGCACAUUGCGCCCGCCAGUAUUCUGGCGGGCAUGCCUGUUCGAGCGUCAUUACAACCCUCAGGCCCCCGGGCCUGGCGUUGGGGAUCGGCGGAGCCCCCCGUGGGCACACGCCGUCCCCCAAAUACAGUGGCGGUCCCGCCGCAGCUUCCAUCGCGUAGUAGCUAACACCUCGCGACUGGAGAGCGGCGCGGCCACGCCGUAAAACACCCAACUCUUCUGAAGUUGACCUCGAAUCAGGUAGGAAUACCCGCUGAACUUAAGCAUAUCAAUAAGCGAGGA
Molecule: unclassified non-coding RNA, 351 nt
Filed under: soil metagenome
Description: partial contains 5.8S ribosomal RNA, internal transcribed spacer 2, and large subunit ribosomal RNA
Rfam family: 5.8S ribosomal RNA (bases 1-120)
Source: RNAcentral